AAUUUGUAUCUCGUACUGUUAGACGCUCGCGAUUUUAUUCGUGCAGUUGUUUGACAUUUUUUUCAUUGUACGAGAUAUCAAUGCUGGUGGAUAUUUAGGAUUUGCGUACGUGCGAUCGCUUCGCGCGUUCGUACGUUUGUCGAAUUCGAUGUUCGAUACGAUGGAUUUUUUACAAAUUUCGCAAACGGUCAAUCGGUAAAACAAUCGAUGACGAACACGAACAAGAACAGCAGUGUUCUGUUUCGUUUCGAAAAUCGAUUCGAUUUUCCGUUGUGAAUUUUUUCAAUUCAAUCGUAUUCCGGACGCGUGCGAGUAGUUGCACUUUUCGAAAGUACUACUGCUGUCUGUUUGCGUUCGGACCAGCGAAAUUACUUUGAACAAAUUAGGGUGCUUAAAGCAGGCAAAUUUUUAAUGCCUUGAAUAUAAACAGCAUGGAAUAAUAGAAAAUGAUCUCGAUACUGUUUUCGUAAUUUGUUGUUUGCUGCUGCGUACGUUACAACGAUUUAUGUCGUAGUUUGUGCGUAGCUCGAGCAGCGAAAUAAAAUUGGCUUAAAGUGAAUGAAAUGUAUGCAAAUUCAUAAAAGACGUAACAAUACAACACUAUCGAUAAAAUACAACGUGCGCGCGAACGCUCGCACGCUUGCGUCCGAUUGGAAACAUUUCUAAUCGUUUUGUUUUCGAAUUAUUCUUUCGUACAUAAGUGUUGUACCUCUUGGAAUUUUUUUUUUCGUUUAUUCGGAAAAAAAAUCCACGUAUGUCUUACUCGCAGUUUUCUGUGUGGUAAUGGCAUUUCGCCAAAAAAAAAGAGUCUAAAUGGACGUAUGCCCGUUUAGUUUGUACGCUACAAAACGCUAGUUCGAUCGAGUUUUCGACAAAUCGUGUGUGUUUACAAUACGCGGUUUGUACAACGAAUUUUGUCGCUGUUGUCGUCGUCGUCGUGUUCGUUGUUGCUAUGUUUGUAUUUUGAUUGCGUUGAUUAUGUUUUCGUUUUCUGAAUUUGUGUUUUGUUCACGAC
Molecule: ribosomal RNA, 1015 nt
Filed under: Caenocholax sp. 1 DPM-2010
Lineage: Eukaryota; Metazoa; Arthropoda; Insecta; Strepsiptera; Myrmecolacidae
Description: partial 18S small subunit ribosomal RNA
Source: RNAcentral